GUGAGAGAAAGUUCAGAAAAUAGAAAGCAAGACAAAUGUAAGCCAGCCUGACUGGAGACAGAAUUCAUUCUGCUGGUCAAACAUCUAAUUCGCUUUUCUCUUUUCUUUCUUCCGCAGCUCCGGGCUCAGCUUGGAAGGACAGGGGAACAUGCAAAUGUGUGGCCCCGAGGCUCAGGGGCACAAGAACCAGACAGUGGAGCUCCAAAGAGACCAAGAGCAGAUGUUUUAUAUUUCAGGAGAGAGCAGUCUCCCUCAAUUCCUGAAGGAUUCCUGGAAUUCUUCUACUUAACAAAAAUUAGCUACAGAGAAAGAAUCAUGAAUCAUGAAUGGGAGCCCGGGAAGCCUCCGGGAGCCAAUCAUUUCUUCCUCCUCCCGUCACCCAAGGGCUGUCUGGUGCCUUGUGGGUUCCAUGGAAAAUCCUCUGGAAAGAAGCGAGGCAUCAGGCUCUUCCAGUUACUCCAAGAGCAGGGCCAUGUUCUGUGAUCAGAGAAACCGAGCCUAGCGCCAUAGUCUCAAGAGCUAGAAGCUGGAGUCAGACCUGUGUUCUGCCCCCAGCUCAGUUUCAGGUUUGCCACUUACUCAGGUAAUAAACAUCUCUACCACCUCAUCUGUCGCAUAGAGCGAACCACCUAUGACCUAUGUCUCCAGCCGGAGAUCAUACAAAGAUCGAGGGAGAUGUGAGCGUACUCUAAUAAGUUAAGUACUUAUACAAGUGAAAAGCAUUUGUAUUGUAAUCACGGACAUAUGGCGUUCUGUUUACAAGGACUUUGGGCCGACCGGUACACGUCUGCACGCGUGGAUGGGAUUAGCAGAGGCACAGAACACAGAGGCUGACCUCCACGAGGCUCUCAAAGCCUGCCCAUCCCGGGUCGGGUCCCUUUACUACUCCUUUUAAGGCCGUUGCAAGCUUUAACCAUUCAAUAUUGAUUCGAUAAACAUUUACUGGGGAUCUGGCACAGGACGUGGCCCAUGUUGGGUGCCCGGUAAAUAUUUGCUGAAUAAUGAAUGAAUGAGGGCCUAAUGCAGAGAUGAAGAACUACAUGGCAAGUUGCCACCAGCCUCUGCUCCUGCACCCACAUCAGAAAACCAUUAGUGGACUAAGGCGCUCUUCUCCGAGGACCUUGUACUCAGCUCAGAAUUCUCAGACUUGGCACGUGAGAUGAAACCUCUUGGCCGUUCCUGACCUAGGCACAAGGAUAAAACACACCUUAACCCUGUGUUCAUGGAGCUCACAAACUCAUGGGAAAUAGGCAGUAAAGCGACAAAUGGAACAUAAUGUAUGUUAAGGACAGAAGUUGGGGAGUCCAGAGCAAGGCCCUGGCACCCCAUGAUGUGGGUGAACUUGCAGUUCUCACACUUGCCUGGGCUCUGAAGGUGAAACUCUUUCCAAGCGUUCCUCCUGCCUCUCUGAUAACCCUUGUCUAACCCUCUUCGACCCAGCCCGCAUAUGUUGGCAUUCUCGGUGUUCUUCCCUGGUCCUCUCACAUUCUACACAGACAUUCUUGUACCCUCACACUCCUCCCCCCAUGACAUCGGCUGCUAUUUACAUACUGAUGCCCCCCACGUUCAUGUCUCCAGCCCUGACCCUUCUCUGAAGCAUAUUUCCAGCUGACCCCUGGACUUGAGUACCCAACAGGCUACCCAGCUCAUCCUCCUCCCUGCUCUGUUCAGCCUCUGAGAACCUUGAUAUGCUUCAAGCAUUACUACUGAAGCCUUCCAAACGGGGAAUUCUUAGCUUUGACACAACUGGAGCCCGGGAUGGCCCUGGACUCUGGCCAUCACGAUCACGUGACUCGAGGCCUCUGCACAUGCUGUGUACUCAGCCUUGGAUACACCACAUACUCAUUCUUCAGCUACGCCUCUGCAUCCCUCAAGAUCUACUGAAACUUGGUUCUAAUGUCACUUUGGCAUCCUUCCCCCAAACCUCACUGCAGAGUCAGUUAGACCAUCUUCUGUAAAUCAAUGAGCUUGUAAGAUUCUGAAAUCCCUCUCGCUCAUCAAAAAAAUUAAGUUAUAAUAAGGCAGUAUGAAUGUUUAUGCAAUGUAUGUUAUACAAAAUCUGCAAAGGCCAUCAGUCCCCACGCACAAAUAAAGCAUUAACCGUCUCCUUCA
Molecule: long non-coding RNA, 2112 nt
Organism: Felis catus (domestic cat)
Lineage: Eukaryota; Metazoa; Chordata; Mammalia; Carnivora; Felidae
Exons: 2
Source: RefSeq, a predicted model, not a curated record